AUGGAGGAGAAAGCGCCGGAGACGGUGGCGGCCCCGGCGGCGGUACUUGCGGUGGAUCAAGAAGUGGCGUACUGCAGCGAGCACCCCUACCCGCCGGGCGCCGCGGCGGCCGCGGGGGUGGCUGCCGGCAGUGGCAUCUGCGCCUUCUGCCUGCAGGAGAAGCUUGGCAUGCUGGUCUCCUCCUCCAAGUCCAGCCCCUUUCACCCGCCGCCUUCCUCCCUCACCCCGACCACCCCUCCGCCCAACAGGCUCGCCACUGAGAAUCUUUAUUCUUCCACCGCCUCUGCCAUGGCGAUCCCUCCGCACAAGGGCAAGACCUCGUCCUCGGCGCCCGCCCCGGUGGCCAGCGGGCUCAGGAGGAGCAAGUCCGUGGCGCCGCGGCCGGAGGAGCCGCCGCUGUCGUCGGGGAUCACCGCUGACAGCCCCCGCAAGAAGAGCUUCUGGUCUUUCCUCUACCCCUCCUCCUCGUCCAGCGGCCACCGGAGCGGGUCGUCGUCUCUGGCCAGUGGGGAAGGCGCCGCGUCGGCGAGGAGGAAGUCGGUGUCGGUGGCUUCGGCGACGUCAGCGUCGCUGGGGCGGAGGCUGGAGGCGAUCGAGGAGCCCGAGAGCCCCGGCCGCCGCAGCGAGGGAUCGUCGUCCUCGUCGUUCGGGAGAAAGGUGGCGCGCUCGCGCUCCGUGGGCUGCGGCAGCCGCAGCUUCUCGGGGGACUUCUUGGAGCGCCUCUCCACCGGCUUCGGCGACUGCGCGCUCCGGCGCGUUGAGUCCCACCGCGAGCCCAAGCCCAAGGGAAGCGCGCUCGGCCACCUUGGCCGCGCCCGCGACGCCGGCGACGGCGACGAGGACUACGAGUACACGCAGCAGCACAGGAUCAAGUGCGCCGGGUUCUUCGGCGGCAUCGGCGCCGCGCCCCCGGCCUCGUCCUCCUACUGGCUCUCCGCGCCCAACGCCGGGAGCGGCGCCGGCGCCAGCGGCAACGCGAGGGUUUCUGGCACACGGAGCCACCGGGGCUGGGCGUGGGCGCUGGCGAGCCCCAUGAGGGCGCUGAGGCCGACGAGCUCCACGUCCAGCAAGACCAUCAUGUCGGCAUCCGCGACGGUGGCGACGAGUUAG
This 1110-nucleotide ribosomal RNA is filed under the name Triticum aestivum (bread wheat). Its description in RNAcentral is "partial small subunit ribosomal RNA". The record is from RNAcentral. Lineage: Eukaryota; Viridiplantae; Streptophyta; Magnoliopsida; Poales; Poaceae.